Molecule: ribosomal RNA, 329 nt
Filed under: Bulimulus versicolor
Lineage: Eukaryota; Metazoa; Mollusca; Gastropoda; Stylommatophora; Bulimulidae
Description: partial 16S ribosomal RNA
Source: RNAcentral
GACUGUGCUAAGGUAGCAUAAUAAUUUGGCCUUUAAUUGAGGUCUUGCAUGAAAGGAGUGUCUUAAUAAUUACUGUCUAAUUUUAAUACCUAUUAAAUUUCUAAUAAGGUGAAAAUUCCUUAAAUUGACAAGAUAGACGAGAAGACCCUUAGACUUAUUAUAAUAUUUAUAAAUUGUUUUAUAUUCUUGAUUGUUGGGGCGACACGGUAUCAAUUGAUUAACAUACCUUAUUUAUUAUACAUUUACCUAUUAUCUUACAAAAAAUUAAGUACCUAAGGGAUAACAGCAUAAUUACUUUAUUACAUUGUGACCUCGAUGUUGGACUAGGA